UCUCUCUCUCUCUCUCUCUGUCUCUCUCUCUCUCUCUCUCUCUCUCUCUCUGUCUCUGUUUUCCUUGAAUUCAUCUUUGAAGGAAUGUCUUUAUAGGCAGUCAUGUGGCCCCCUAGGACCUAGCUGGAAGCGCAAUUCUUGUAAUCUUGAUGCAAGGCAUGCAUUGGGGGCCAUGACUGAAAUCUUGAACAUGUUCGCUGGAAUCUUGAGAAUCUUUGGGUAUCAUCAUUGCAGGAAUCCUAGAUUUUUUGGUUGCGUUAAUCUCGAAUGGGCUCACCAACAUCUUGCAUAUGGUGGUUGAAAUCAUAGGUAAGGUCAUCGGAAUCUUGCUUAUGGUUGCCAAAACAUGUAGAGAGAGGGAGGAGGAGAGUCUUAUUGGGGUAAUGUGAGUGAGAAUUGUGGAGAUAGGAUGAGAGAUAGUAGGAUUGUCUUGGUAUGAAGAGAGAGAAAGGGAUAAGGAAAGGGGAUCAAUGGUGGUGGGGAUGUGUUCAUAUGGAGAAAGAGAGAGAACCAGGGAGAGAGGUCCAGUGGGUUUAAGGCUUUGGAUAUGGUCUUUGAGAUCAGAAAAAUGAACAAAGCUCUAGUUCAAACAGUAGUAGUAUGGCCAUGUGAAGUUUCCAUUGAGUGAGAGGCCUUGACGAAGUCCCCAUGGAGUCAUAGCGAGCAAGAGAGAGUUAUAGCGAGCAAGAGAGUUACAGAGAGCAACAAAGCGAGUUUUGUUUGGCUGUAAAAAAUAGUAGUUUGUUUUAUAGGCGAGAUGUUAUUUAGGACGGAAAUUAAGUUCAAUAGAGAGAAAGAUGGUUUGGAAUGGGAAUUUGUAAUGCAAAUUCGAGGAAGUCCUUGCUACUAGGAAAGUACUCCAUAUUUUAAUUUUCUACUAGGUGGCGCCUCAAGGCAAUGCAGGGGCCUAGGCGCCUCAUACAGGCCAAGACAAGCGUUCCUACAUGGGUCAACUUGAGGUGUUUGCUUCACACCUAAGCUGAGGCACCUUCCUCAGGUUGCAAAUGGCCCAAGGAAGGAACAUGCCUUCGGUCAUGAAUUUUCGUUUUUCUCCCACACUGAGGCUGAGGAAAACUCUAUGGAAAAUCAAAUCCAGAAUAUUUGGAUUUGAUUCUUAGGGAAAUAUCACUAGAGGUUAUUAAAGGAUAUCUUGGGUGAUUUAAAACUCGAUAUUCAUUCAAAACAUUGAGGAUUGAAGAUCGAGCAACAAAGGUGAGUCAUUUUUUGUUAAAGUUCUUAGCAUCUGAGAUCUUUCACGAUGUCUUUGUGGUUAUCUUGCAUGUGUGAAAUGUGAUUCAACUUUUAGCCAAUCACUUGCAAACUUCUGAUUUUAAGAUAAGAAAAGAAGAAGAUGACCUUUAAGUGUUUCAUGCGAGGCCUCUUAACACUGGCUAGUGAUAAUUUUCUUGCCUGGUUCACACUAAUAUUUGUUGUCCUGUCUAGGAAGUUCCAAUCCACAACCCAGUAUAUCUUAUGCUGGGAACAUCCUUUGGCUCAGCUGCAAAGGGCACUGGACUAAAGGCACUUGAAUUUGCUCUCUCAGUCUGUGACUCCNNNNNNNNNNNNNNNNNNNNAACGUACGUACGUAACGUAACGUUAACGUAACCUAACCUACCUACAACUACCGUACUACUUAGUUAGUAAUAUUACUUCUACGUCGUCUCUCUCUCUCUCUCUCUCUCUCUCUCUCUCUCUCUCUCUCUCUCUCUCUCUCUCUCUCUGUUUUCCUUGAAUUCAUCUUUGAAAGAAUGUCUUUAUAGGCAGUCAUGUGGCCCCCUAGGACCUAGCUGGAAGCGAAAUUCUUGUAAUCUUGUUGCAAGGCAUGCAUUGGGGGCCAUGACUGAAAUCUUGAACAUGUUCGCCGGAAUCUUGAGAAUCUUUGGGUAUCAUCAUUGCAGGAAUCCUAAAUUGUUUGGUUGCGUUAAUCUCGAAUGGGCUCACCAACAUCUUGCAUAUGGUGGUUGAAAUCAUAGGUAAGGUCAUCGGAAUCUUGCUUAUGGUUGCCAAAACAUGUAAAGAGAGGGAGGGGAGAGUCUUAUUGGGGUAAUGUGAGUGAGAAUUGUGGAGAUAGGAUGAGAGAUAGUAGGAUUGUCUUGGUAUGAAGAGAGAGAAAGGGAUAAGGAAAGGGGAUCAAUGGCGGUGGGGAUGUGUUCAUAUGGAGAAAGAGAGAGAACCAGGGAGAGAGAGAACCAGGGAGAGAGGUGUUCAUAUGGAGAAAGAGAGAGAACCAGGGAGAGAG
This 2239-nucleotide long non-coding RNA is filed under the name Amborella trichopoda. RNAcentral's name for it is "long non-coding RNA (ATRI_LNC002738)". Lineage: Eukaryota; Viridiplantae; Streptophyta; Magnoliopsida; Amborellales; Amborellaceae. The record is from RNAcentral.